Molecule: ribosomal RNA, 119 nt
Filed under: Salmo trutta (river trout)
Lineage: Eukaryota; Metazoa; Chordata; Actinopteri; Salmoniformes; Salmonidae
Source: RNAcentral
GCUUACGGCCAUACCAGCCUGAAUACGCCCGAUCUCGUUCCGAUCUCGGAAGCUAAGCAGGUCGGGCCUGUGUUAGUACUUGGAUGGGAGACCGCCUGGGAAUACCAGGUGCUGAAGCU